RNAcentral lists this ribosomal RNA (451 nucleotides) under uncultured bacterium. Its description in RNAcentral is "partial 16S ribosomal RNA". It matches the Rfam family "Bacterial small subunit ribosomal RNA", at positions 354 to 796 of the family's 1533-position model. The record is from RNAcentral.
GUGGGGAAUAUUGGACAAUGGGGGGAACCCUGAUCCAGCCAUGCCGCGUGUGUGAAGAAGGCCUUUUGGUUGUAAAGCACUUUAAGCGAGGAGGAGGCUACCGAGAUUAAUACUCUUGGAUAGUGGACGUUACUCGCAGAAUAAGCACCGGCUAACUCUGUGCCAGCAGCCGCGGUAAUACAGAGGGUGCAAGCGUUAAUCGGAUUUACUGGGUGUAAAGCGCGCGUAGGUGGCCAAUUAAAUCAAAUGUGAAAUCCCCGAGCUUAACUUGGGAAUUACAUUCGAUACUGGUUGGCUAGAGUAUGGGAGAGGAUGGUAGAAUUCCAGGUGUAGCGGUGAAAUGCGUAGAGAUCUGGAGGAAUACCGAUGGCGAAGGCAGCCAUCUGGCCUAAUACUAACACUGAGGUGCGAAAGCAUGGGGAGCAAACAGGAUUAGAAACCCCAGUAGUCC